GACGAACGCUGGCGGCGUGCUUAACACAUGCAAGUCGAACGGAAAGGCCCUGCUUUUGUGGGGUGCUCGAGUGGCGAACGGGUGAGUAACACGUGAGUAACCUGCCCUUGACUUUGGGAUAACUUCAGGAAACUGGGGCUAAUACCGGAUAGGAGCUCCUGCUGCAUGGUGGGGGUUGGAAAGUUUCGGCGGUUGGGGCUGGACUCGCGGCUUAUCAGCUUGUUGGUGAGGUAGUGGCUUACCAAGGCUUUGACGGGUAGCCGGCCUGAGAGGGUGACCGGCCACAUUGGGACUGAGAUACGGACCAGACUCCUACGGGAGGCAGCAGUGGGGAAUAUUGCACAAUGGGCGGAAGCCUGAUGCAGUAACGCCGCGUGCGGGAUGACGGCCUUCGGGUUGUAAACCGCUUUCGCCUGUGACGAAGCGUGAGUGACGGUAAUGGGUAAAGAAGCACCGGCUAACUACGUG
Molecule: ribosomal RNA, 468 nt
Filed under: uncultured bacterium
Lineage: Bacteria
Description: partial 16S ribosomal RNA
Rfam family: Bacterial small subunit ribosomal RNA
Source: RNAcentral